CACCGCUGUGCAAAUUACCCCCAUCUCGAACCCAACUCCACAAUCCUAACCCGUGCCUGCCGCCGCCGCCCUCGUGCUCGAUCCACAGUCCUGCCGCCGGCCUCGCGCUCCACCCCGUCGUCAAGCCGUCGUCUCGGAGCUCGCACUCCCCCGCCCCUGAGCUCCACCCCGUCAUCCACCCGUCCUUGCAAUCCGCCCCUCCCCCCGAGAUCCAUAUCCUGAGAUCGAGCCGCCGCCCUCUUGAUGCACAUCGAACCGCCGUCCUCGCGCCGCCCCCUCGACAUCCCGCUGUCCUCCUCGCCAAUCCCCGUUCCUGCUGCUGCCGGGGCUCCAUCUCCGGGCUCCCACUGCUGUCCCACCUGCUGUUGCCGGGGCUCCAUCUCCGGGUUCCCGCUGCUGCUGGAUCUCCUGCUACCUGGGCUCCCUCUGCGGGCUCGCGCUGCUGCUGGGCCUGCUGCUACCGGGGAUCCAUCCCCUUCGAGCUGCGCCCCUCCCGAAGCCAGCUGGCGCCGUGCCCUGAGUGAGGUCAUGGCGGAAGACAACAAUGAUAAUUGAUACAUCGUAGAUGGACCUGGAAGCAAUGCUACGAAGAGUGUCAAAUGGAGGUGGCUUCUCAUGGUAGUGAGGAUGUGGCCAUACAGCCAAUCAGCCAUAUAGGCAAGGAAAAGAGAUGGUGCAGAAGGAGCUUCAGCAGGCAUGAUGGUUCGACAACCACAACCUUGCAAGGCCAUCCCCAUGGCCCAGCAACACUAUUUCAGGUUUGCCUCUCGCUCCCUACCCAGCCACUCUAUAGUGGACGUUAUUACUUUGUCUUCUCCAUGGACUAAUUGGUUAUUGUUGUGGUUACUCCAUGGACUAAUAUGACCUUUGCACCGAAACCAUUUAUUUUACAAAAUUGCCUACCUUUGUUCUAGCAUAUUAAAUUUUAACAGCAUGCUCCAGUGCCUACAAAUUGUUCCAUCGGAACAUUAUUUUUGUUCUGCCAUCAUGAAAUGUGUGAAGUUUGCAAUGACUGGAGAUCUCACCAAUAGUCAUCUCUCCAAAAAUUCCUCUUGUUCUAGUCAUAUGCUUAACUUAUUUUUUAGAUAAUGGAAGAUGGUUUCUCAGCCUCUGCAUCAUUCCAUAAUUUAUAUUGCCCGGACUUGUUAUUUCUCUGUGGCUUGAUCUGGGAUCCUACUUUGUUAUACAAGCGUCUGCUAGUUAAUGCUUUGCCAUUGUUUCUCUUGGGAUCACUCUUUAUAUCAUAAUAUUUUUACAUACUGCAUUUAUGCUCUAUCUACAUUGGAAUUAGACAUGUCAUCCUUGACUGUUACCUCAGUCUGCUCAACUUUAUAUUGUAGAAAUUAUGUUUUUGUUAAUUAUAACUACAUACUAUUCUUUCACUAUUUCUGAUAAAAUCAGAAUAUUAUUUUUUGAUAAGCUGGAAGGGAGGUCAUUAUCUACAACUACUUACCAUCUCCCAUUUCAUCAAACUAAUAAACAACGGUUCAAAUGGCUGGUGCUGCUAGGAAAGGGAGAUCCUUAUCUGGAAAUGCUUAACACCUGUUAUCUCAUCAGUGUAAAAACUAUGGUAGCCCACUAAGGUUGUAUUACCAAUAUUAGGGUAUUUAUUGUAGACUUUGUAGUUUGCGGUUAAUGACAAUUCUGUAUUACUCCCUCUGUCCCAAAAUAAGUGUGCAACUUUGUAACAAAGUUGUACUAAAGUUGAGACACUUAUUUUAACACGGAGGGAGUAUUUUGGGAGUUGUGAAUGCUAUGCAAUGUUGUGAAUGCGUAGUAUACUAGUAUACUUCUUUAAUUUAUUUGAAUAAUUUCCUCUUGACUAGGAUGAAUGAGAAAAUAUCUUCAUGUGGUUAUAUGUGCAUUGCAUGUGCACACUUACUAGUUAGAGUAAAAAAUAGAUGCAAAUAGUGUUGUUACAUACAGUUGUCAUAAUUACAAUGCCUGGUGAGAAACAAAUUACUUUUAGUCUUGCCAACAAUAGCCAGGAACCACGACCACCAGCAUGCAGCAUGGCCAAUGGGUGGAGAACGGAUGGCUACCUCGCUGGGAACCAUGGUUGCGCACGUGCAGCAGAAACCAAAUGUUGGAUGGAAGGCUACCUCAUGGGGAACUAGGGCCACAACUUGUAGUGUCCAACUGGUGGCGAAUGGAAGGCUACCUGGCCGUGUACCUCAACUACUAGGCACUUAGCCAACUGGUGCACAUGGACGUGAUGACUUUGAAGUGUUUAUGGACCAACCAACAUGCCAACUGGUGCACAUGGACGUGAUGACUUUGAAGUGUUUAUGGACCAACCAACCUGUAAACAUGGAUCUUAUGUGUCUUCUAGACCAUUUGGUGUUUCGGAUAUGUUGGAGUUUGCACUUUGUGCAAGUGGAUACAGACUUGUGUGUUCUGGACCAUCCAGCUGAAGUCUCUCAUACCAGCAAAUAGUGCUCAUCUUUCUGUGACUUGUGUGUUCUAGGUGAUUGUUAAGAUGGUCAAAACUAUGCUUUGCCAAGAUUGAUGUGUUUGUCAACUUGCGGUCAAUGUAUAUGCAUGUUCGUGAACA
Non-coding RNA from Triticum urartu, 2554 nucleotides. The record is from RefSeq and is a predicted model, not a curated record. Lineage: Eukaryota; Viridiplantae; Streptophyta; Magnoliopsida; Poales; Poaceae.